CUAGCACGUGCCUAAGCUCCUGACUGUCUGGAUUGUGCUAUGGGGCUUCCGUAGACCGUUUUCCUCGGUUAGGAUUUAACAUGGCGGCUCCCUUUCCGGAAAUGGCAAAAGUGACCUGUGAUGGAAAAAUCUAGUACUGGCCAGCCGAUAGGCCUGUAAUGAGAAGAGAGUGGACCCGGAAUUAGCUGUCCAGACCUGCCAGAUGAGGCCAGCAAACUUCCUCAGAUAUUACUGGCCUUCUUGGAAACCAGCCUCAUUAAUCCUGCUAUGAUGCCAAGAGGUAGCCCAGCAACUCACACUUUGCCUUGCUCUGAGCAACUUUCUUUUCUGGCCAUCUCUGACGCCUUAUGCCGAAGCUGAUGUGGCUCAGCACCAAGUUCAGGCACCAAGAAGGUGCUUGUUAACUGGCAGUGCCGAAAAGGUCUCUCUUUCAUUGUCUGUGUAAAGUUACUUCUUUCCUGGGCAGUGGUUAAUUUGUUGAAAAUGUGUGGAAGAGUUUUCACAGUUGGGGUGGGGGGAAAGCGCUAAAUAGAAAUGUGAACUCUUCCAAGGUGCAUUCAGAGACACUUCUAACCUCUAGUUUCAUAGAAACCUCGGGCUCCUCUGUUGCUCUAUUAGCAUUGGUUUUAUCCAGAAGGAGGCAUCACAGAACCUGAAUUUCAUUCACCAAGGUUUAAAAGAAAAUGCACAUUUCCUUGUGAUUGGAAACUAAAGUGUGUAGUCUUUAGAGGGCAUGUUUAAAGACUUUUUGUUUAUCCCUGUAAUUGGUGAAAUUACUUUAAAGCUGUGAAAGAUGGGGAUGGUGAUAGUUUCCUACUCAGUGAAAACCUGAAGCCUGAGAUACUUAGAAAAACCUGUCCUAGGCCCAUGUUCCUUCACCAAGUGACAUGAUGAUGAUCAAAACUGGCUUAUUUCCUAGUCAAAACAGUUGUGAAACUUAAGAAUAACCGUGAGGUCUUCUUGCCCUUCCAUACACACUUGUUCCCACUGCCCAUCAAAGUCAUCUUAGCUGACUUCAUUGGAGGCAGGGGUCAAGAAAACCUAAAUGGAUGGUUUAGUCAGUAAAUCUUCUGUGUAUGGGCACUUAAAAAUAAGUCACAAGGUUGAGGAUUCCACAAAGGUGACUCUCAAAUUGGUGACAGUCUCACAAAUCAGGGCUUUCAUGGAAAGAGAAGGUAAUCUUUUUCUGAAUUUGAGAUGGAAUCUGGGUUUCUGGUUCCUUUCCAGGAAUUCAUUCCUAGGCCAGCCAUGUCACUUAGGCUCAUGAGACAGUACCUCAGUGAAUGUCUACUCACUCGUGGGAAUGUUAAUGUUCCAUAAAUUCUUGGUGUGAGGUAUUCCUUUGGAUACACACCACAAGUGGGAUUGCUGGACUAGACGGUCAUUCUGUUUUUAACUUUUUGAGGGAGUUUCAUACUGUUUUCCAUAGUAGCUGUACCAAUUUAGUCUUGAACUAAAUGAGUUUCGUGAGCAGUUCUCAGCCACUUUUGAUUGUCGGUUCUUUUCAGGAGAAGUACUGGAGAGAUUAGGGGCUCAAAGGGGAAAGCACGCCCCUGAUCAGGAAAGAUGGAAUGACUGACUACAUACGGACCUUCGUUGGGGUUCCUAAAGCCUAGAGGUGGGGAAGGGGCCGGGAAGAGUGACCCUCUAUAGAGCUGCUCUCAGAGCACAAGGAGAAAGCUGGACAGGAGGACAUAGGCCCUCAGUGUGAAAGGUGCAUUGGACUUUCUGUGGUCAAAAGUGUCUGCUACCUAUUUCUCAGUCCCUGGUACUGCCUGGGAUCAUUGUAGCAUGGGGACUGAAGAUAAUAGUGCACAUCGCUGAGUGUGACAUGAGAGUGGAUUACUUUGUGGCAAAGGUGAGACUUUGAUGAUGAAGGCUUUACCCUAUGUUACAGCAUUCCUCAGAAUUUUGGAGUUCACUGUUAGGGAUAUUCUUGUGUUCCUGCUUCAGUCUAUGCACUGCCAUAGGCUGUCAAAAGCAUCUGGGGAAAGGUGAGCUUUCCCCCUCCUAUACUGUGGCCUAGAGCAGUAGUCUGAGAGAGUCUCCCGGGAGGUGCCCACUGAUGGUGACUACACUUGGUUGAGUAGACCACUCAACUCUUCUGUUGGGACUACCAUAAAGAGGCACAUGAAAGUGAGCUGCUGUUGCUGGUGUGUUCUAGUGAUCUAGCAGCCAGACACUUCUUCCUUCAACACUCACACACCUCAGGUGCCUUGGUAAACUCCUAAAGGAGGCGCAUAUUGGCAACGGCAGCAUGUGGGGCAUGGGAAAUGUUGAGUCAGGGGCAGAAGUUGGCGGUAGCCUGAUGUCAGAAUUCUGUGCCUUUGUGCAGAGCGAGGGCACAUUGGGAUUCCCGAGGAGUCCCAACUCUGUAGGAAUGUGGUUGGAACUUUCCACGUUCACUUUCUGCACUCUUCCACUGAGCACACUCUGCACAUUGUGUGGAAGAAAGAGGUCCGAUGGGUCUUGUCAAUGAACUGUCCAUGAAUCCGGGGCCAUUUGCUUCUUUCUGCGCAUAUGCCGAUGAGCCUGGAUGUCCAGGAACCUCCGGAGUCAGGUGCCCCAGCUGGAGCAUGAAGCCCUUGUAUUCCUCUUGCUGGAGAGGGCUACACCCCCAGGCUGUGGCUCUCUCUCCCCUCUGUGUGUCUGCUAGAAAGCCUUUCUAGCAGAAAGGCUGGCUGCUGGUGGCUUCUCUUCCAUUUGGGUCUUCCUGUUGAUGGGGGUGACAUUGCCUCAAGGGGCCUUCU
This is a long non-coding RNA of Bos taurus (domestic cattle), 2750 nucleotides long. Lineage: Eukaryota; Metazoa; Chordata; Mammalia; Artiodactyla; Bovidae. The record is from Ensembl.